CUUCGGGAGCUGAGGGCCGGGAAGGACAGUAGUGGGGGAAGGCGUGAGGUUGGAGGGGCGCAGUGGGCGGGGCCCGAGGGCCGGACGCCGAGUCUGAGCGCCUGUGGGGAGGCCCCCCAGACGUUUCCAGGAAGCAGCUCGCUCCGCAGCUCCACCUGCUGGUCCCGCCAGAUCCGCGCGUCCUGAGGACCAGCAGGUCCGAUACUCUGCUAAGUCCUGGAGCAAGUCCUCCCCCUGCGCGGGUCCUGUUCCUCUUCUCGUGGUCACAGCCAAGCAAGAUGAUUACAAACAGCCCUAGGCUUUCAUUGAGUUUACAGCUCUCAGUCCCAGAAGAGAGCCUACUUCCGCCCAGCUUCAGCAUAAGAAAAGAAGUCUUGGGACUGUUUCCCCUAAACUUCCUGAAGUUGUCCUAAAACCUUGCAAAAGCUGAAUCCCAAAGCCAGGCCCUCUAUGGAAGGAGAAGACUCAGCAAAUAUUUGUGAACCAAGCUGGAAAGGGUGGCGUUUAAUCUAUGUCUCAGAAAACGAGGAAAAGAAAGAGCACUUCUGGCCAGGGGAGGGUAUAGGCCGUGGCCUGGAGGCAGGAAUAGACUUUAUUUGUUUGGGGAAGGGGGAAGAGACUUUGAGGUUGGUGGAAAGCGGAGGGGGUUUGUACCGUAAUGGUCAUUGGUGGAUUGCCUCCCAAGCAACCAUUCCCUCUGAUUAUUUUUUUAAUAUAAAUUUAUUUAUUUUAUUGUUUUUGGCUGCGUUGGGUCUUUGUUGCUGCGCGCGGUCUUUCUCUAGUUGCGGUGAGCGGGGGCUACUUUUCGUUGCGGUGCGCGGGCUUCUCAUUGCGGAGGCUUCUCUUUGUUGCGAAGCACGGGCUCUAGGCACGCAGGCUUCAGUAGCUGUGGCUUGCGGACUCUAGAGUGCAGGCUCAGUAGUUGUGGUGCUUAGUUGCUAAGUGCAGGCUUAGUUGCUCUGUAGCCUGUGGGAUCUUUUUUUUUUUUUAGCCUGUGGGAUCUUCCCGAACCAGGGCUUGAACCCGUGUCCCCUGCAUUGGCAGGCAGAUUCUUAAGCGGGAAGUCCCCCUCUGAUUUCUAUUUGGAGAUCUACCAGUUCCCCUGCACUUAGACAGGUAAGGAUGGAGCUACAGCCUCAGCAUCAGAGCACAUAAGGUGGCUUGGCCAAUCUUUUUUUUUUUUUUUUUUUUUUUUUGCGGUACGCGGGCCUCUCACUGUUGUGGCCUCUCCCGUGGCAGAGCACAGGCUCCGGCUGCGCAGGCUCAGCGGCCAUGGCUCACGGGCCUAGCCGCUCUGCGGCAUGUGGGAUCUUCCCGGACCGGGGCACGAACCCGUGUCCCCUGCAUCGGCAGGCGGACUCUCAACCACUGCGCCACCAGGGAAGCCCUUGGCCAAUCUUUAUACCAUUUUCUUGGCUGUGGUGAUUGGCUCAUGUGUGGGCACAUGACCUACACAGGUCCAAUCAGAAUGGGUUUCAGGCAAUGGCCUGGUGAGGAUGGGGGCUGGAGCAUGUCCCUACCAUGAGGGCCUGUCUGAGGUUUGGGCCAAUCCAGAAGCCUUGUCACCGAGAGAUGAAGAGGCAAAAACCAGUCUUUGGGGACAUCAUUCGAGAGCCUGCAGCCAGGCCUAUACCUGGGCUGUUCAGCUGUGGGACCAAUAACUUUGUGCUUCCCCUGGUGGGCAUUAGGCUUUCUGUCACUUGGCUCCUGAGGUUAAAAAGUUGGUGAAACCAGUCUGGGAAGAGCCUGGAUGUGGGUCCAACCUGACUUCAAUGAGGAGACAAGUCAGCCCCAUGCUAUGUCUUUUUUGACCCACAGCACAGGAACAUGAUGGAGACAAGGGUUCCCAGUGCAGAGAGAGCAGCAGGAGAGGAGCAGGCAGUGGAGGUGUGUGAGCUGAGACAACUGCAGAGACCUUGAUGAUGACAAUUUUGUAGAGAAUGGCCUGGGUCCUUGAGUAACUGCAAGGAACAGAGCUGGCCACCCACCUGGACGAUUAACAAACUAAUUCAUUCUGGCUUGACACAAGCUAAUUCAUUCUCCCUGUUGCCCAGCAAGCUCCUUCUCAUCCUCUGAGGCACAGCUCAAAUGUCCCCUCCUCCAGGAAGUCUUCUCUGAACUCACCCAGAGGAAUAAUCAGUUCUCCCUGCUCUGUGUUUCAAGGUUGUGCUCCUAAGUCCCUCCUUCAGGCCUCCGUCACCGGCCACAUCUGAUUCCGAUGUGCUCCAGUUUUGUAGAGGGUGCUUCCCCUGUUGGGUUGUGACACACUCCCCCACCGAGGGCAGGAAUCGUGAACCCAGAUUGUGAUGGAUCAUUUGAUUCCUCCAUUCAUAUACUCUGCAGAGGUCCCUACACUUGCAAGAUGUCUGCAAAAUCCUGGAAAUGCAGUGUGGGGUUGGAGCUAGGAAUUUGAGCCCCUGUUCGUGCUUAAUUAGUUCAGCUCAUGGAAGUAUCUCCGUCCUGUUCUCCUGUCUCUGGUACUAAGUUUUUAAACCAGAUCUAGAACUCAGCCUCUUUCUCUGAUUCCCACAAAUCCCCCUCACACAGGCCUUUGUGUGGGUAGCAGACUACUGAAGUAGUUGUGGCACGCGGGCUCUAGAGCGCAGGCUCAGUAGUUGUGGCGCACGGGCUUAGUUGCUCCACGGCAUGUGGGAUCUUCCCAGACCAGGGCUCGAAUCCAUGUCCCCUGCAUUGGCAGGUGGAUUCUUAACCACUGUGCCACCAGGGAAGUCCUGCAAUUUGUAAUUAUUAUG
Orcinus orca (killer whale) is the source of this 2753-nucleotide long non-coding RNA. RefSeq lists it as uncharacterized. The record is from RefSeq and is a predicted model, not a curated record. Lineage: Eukaryota; Metazoa; Chordata; Mammalia; Artiodactyla; Delphinidae. The transcript has 3 exons.